Molecule: ribosomal RNA, 340 nt
Filed under: uncultured Halochromatium sp.
Lineage: Bacteria; Pseudomonadati; Pseudomonadota; Gammaproteobacteria; Chromatiales; Chromatiaceae
Description: bacterial SSU rRNA
Rfam family: Bacterial small subunit ribosomal RNA
Source: RNAcentral
GAAGAGAGUCGCGCGUUAAUACCGUGCGGCCUUGACAUUACCCGCAAAAGAAAGCACCGGCUCAACUUCCGUGCCAGCAGCCGCGGUAAUACGCAGGGUGCAAGCGUUAAUCGGAAUUACUGGGCGUAAAGCGCACGUAGGCGGGAAAUUAAGUCGGAUGUGAAAUCCCCGGGCUUAACCUGGGAACUGCAUCCGAUACUGGUUGCCUAGAGUAUGGAAGAGGGAAGCGGAAUUCCAGGUGUAGCGGUGAAAUGCGUAGAUAUCUGGAGGAACAUCAGUGGCGAAGGCGGCUUCCUGGUCCAAUACUGACGCUGAGGUGCGAAAGCGUGGGGAGCAAACA